UGGCGGACGGGUGAGUAAUGUCUGGGAAACUGCCCGAUGGAGGGGGAUAACUACUGGAAACGGUAGCUAAUACCGCAUAACGUCGCAAGACCAAAGAGGGGGACCUUCGGGCCUCUUGCCAUCGGAUGUGCCCAGAUAGGAUUAGCUAGUAGGUGGGGUAACGGCUCACCUAGGCGACGAUCCCUAGCUGGUCUGAGAGGAUGACCAGCCACACUGGAACUGAGACACGGUCCAG
This 235-nucleotide ribosomal RNA is filed under the name uncultured bacterium. Its description in RNAcentral is "partial 16S ribosomal RNA". It matches the Rfam family "Bacterial small subunit ribosomal RNA", at positions 96 to 334 of the family's 1533-position model. The record is from RNAcentral.